GACGAACGCUGGCGGCGUGCCUAAUACAUGCAAGUAGAACGCACAGUUUAUACCGUAGCUUGCUACACCAUACACUGUGAGUUGCGAACGGGUGAGUAACGCGUAGGUAACCUGCCUGGUAGCGGGGGAUAACUAUUGGAAACGAUAGCUAAUACCGCAUAAUAUUGAUUAUUGCAUGAUAAUUGAUUGAAAGAUGCUAUUGCAUCACUACCAGAUGGACCUGCGUUGUAUUAGCUAGUAGGUGAGGUAACGGCUCACCUAGGCGACGAUACAUAGCCGACCUGAGAGGGUGAUCGGCCACACUGGGACUGAGACACGGCCCAGACUCCUACGGGAGGCAGCAGUAGGGAAUCUUCGGCAAUGGACGAAAGUCUGACCGAGCAACGCCGCGUGAGUGAGGAAGGUUUUCGGAUCGUAAAGCUCUGUUGUAAGAGAAGAGCGGGUGUGAGAGUGGAAAGUUCACACUGUGACGGUAUCUUACCAGAAAGGGACGGCUAACUACGUG
This 505-nucleotide ribosomal RNA is filed under the name uncultured bacterium. RNAcentral describes it as "partial 16S ribosomal RNA". It matches the Rfam family "Bacterial small subunit ribosomal RNA", at positions 28 to 507 of the family's 1533-position model. The record is from RNAcentral.